This 774-nucleotide ribosomal RNA is filed under the name uncultured Eubacterium sp. Its description in RNAcentral is "bacterial SSU rRNA". It matches the Rfam family "Bacterial small subunit ribosomal RNA", at positions 59 to 848 of the family's 1533-position model. The record is from RNAcentral. Lineage: Bacteria; Bacillati; Bacillota; Clostridia; Eubacteriales; Eubacteriaceae.
AAGAAGAUGGAAACCUUCGGGCGGAAGGCUUCAUUUCGAGUGGCGGACGGGUGAGUAACGCGUGGGUAACCUGCCUCAUACAGGGGGAUAACAGUUGGAAACGACUGUUAAUACCGCAUAAGACCACAGCACCGCAUGGUGGGNGGGUAAAAACUCCGGUGGUAUGAGAUGGACCCGCGUUCGAUUAGCCAGUUGGCGGGGUAACGGCCCACCGAAGCGACGAUCGAUAGCCGAUCUGAGAGGAUGACCGGCCACAUUGGGACUGAGACACGGCCCAAACUCCUACGGGAGGCAGCAGUNGGGAAUAUUGCACAAUGGGGGAAACCCUGAUGCAGCGACGCCGCGUGAGUGAAGAAGUACUUCGGUAUGUAAAGCUCUAUCAGCAGGGAAGAAAAUGACGGUACCUGAGUUAGAAGCCCCGGCUAACUACGUGCCAGCAGCCGCGGUAAUACGUAGGGGGCAAGCGUUAUCCGGAUUUACUGGGUGUAAAGGGAGCGCAGACGGUUGCGCAAGUCUGAAGUGAAAUCCCGAGGCUUAACCACGGGACUGCUUUGGAAACUGUGCGACUUGAGUAUCGGAGGGGCAGGCGGAAUUCCUAGUGUAGCGGUGAAAUGCGUAGAUAUUAGGAAGAACACCGGUGGCGAAGGCGGCCUGCUGGACGAAAACUGACGUUGAGGCUCGAAGGCGUGGGGAGCAAACAGGAUUAGAUACCCUGGUAGUCCACGCGGUAAACGAUGAAUACUAGGUGUUGGUGCCCAAAGGGCAUCGGUGCCG